CGCAAAUCCCGUUCUAGUUCUGAGGACCUUGCUGAUAUAGGCCGGUGGGAUGAACCGUAGCCGUCGGAUCGAUCAAAUGAUGUUAAUGGACGAAGAUUAUUACUCCUCAAAGUUGGUUUAUCCUCGAUCCACGAACUUUUUUUCUAAUUGGUCAAGGGGGAGGGCUCCCGCCCUAGGGGCCUAGAGUGGGUGCUCUGAAUGUGGACCCUCUCGCUUUCUCCUUCAUUCGGGUGCCUUCCUGACCCGUCUAGACUAUUCUUUUUCAUAUGUUGCGUAGAUAUCUCAUUUAUCUCUUUGUAAUCAUAACAUGUAGACCUCCUUUGGUUAUUUUCCGAUCACCCCCUACAAAAAUAGAUAUUCACCAAAACUCGUGGAAUUCUGUCAGUGUACCCCUAGUUCUAUGUUGGUGAUUGCUUUUAUGCCCUUAUUUCAUUCUCUUGUUGAUAUAAAAAAUGAUAGUUAUCUACUAUCAACAAUCUCCCCCAAGCUUACCCUUUGCUCGUCCCUAAGCAAAGAUAAACUCGGUGAUGGAUUAGGAGUUGCUGCAAUGCUUUCACGCCUUAAAAGUACACAUGCGUUCAAACAAGAAUUCUCCUUAGGAUUAGAGUAAACUAUUUUGACUUCAAACUUACCCAUUUUACCUUCUACCAUGGGGCUUGUAGACGUUACGUAGGUUUUGAGCAGUUGAAAGAUAGAACGGUUAAGUCAAGCACUAUGUCUCUAGCUCAUCGAUCAACCUUCAUUCUAGAGUUUUUGUGGAUUUUCAAAUAAAACUCUGAGAUUCCUAUGUAUAACCCUCUCAAGUCUCUCAUAUGUGGUAUUUGUGGAUCCUUACCAAGGCAUUAAUGAUGUAUGCCUUCUCUUAUCUCUCAAGAUAUGUGGUAUUUUUGGCAUUAGGCAUAGUAGCAUUGUGCCCUCUCUCUCACCCUAUAACUAAUAAGCUUAUGUGGAGCUCAUAUGUGGGAAGACAACUUAUACAUACUUGCAAACAUGUAUUGUUAAGUCAAACAAUGGAUCCAGAGAAACAAGUCAUACAAUCAAAUUAAGAUGUGCAUGUAUGUGGGAUACGGUGGAUGGUGGUAAUGGUAGGUGUAAGUGGUUAUGAAGGGGUGUAUAUGAUGGUAAUGGUGAAGCCCUAAUUCUACUUUUGCUCCUUAAAGAAAUACGUACCUCUCUUUUGAACUUGAAGACUUUGGGAGAACCUAGGUUGCUCACAAUCUCUCAAUCUCUCUUUUCUUUUUUUUAAUUGGGACUUUGUCCUCUUUUUUUCUUUCUUCUUCUUUUUUCUUCAAUGAGCACCCAAGCCUCAGUUUACUCGAUUUUUUAGCUAAAAACGCACGCUUCAUGGCCACCGGUGCUUGAACCCCCGUAAUCCUCCUUCAUGUCUUGAACCCCUAACCAUUCCACCUAUAACCUAUUUAUCUCCAAAUGAGAUUUUCGUCCUAGCCAUUUUAUGUUCAUUUUAUUUCAAAACGAAUACUUAGAAUCUUGGAUGAAUUCAAAUAAAAAAGUUAUCAACUACAAAGUUUUGUAACUUUUAGAGAUCUUUAACUUUUAUUUUGGUACUUUCUCCAUUCGAGGUAAUUUAUAAAAUUUCAAUUUUCAAUUUGAGACAUUCAGAUGUAGCUUCCCAUGACAAGGUGAUUUCAAAUGGAAAUAUUAUCAACUACAGACUUGCAUAAAUUUUUGGGGUCUACAAUUUUUGUUUCGGGUGUUUAUCUAUUCGAGGUUGUUUUGAAAAUUCAGAUUUUAAAUUUAAGAUAUCGAAAUUAAUUAUUGUUAGAAAAAUGAUUACAAAUAAAACAUCUGAACAUCUAAAUUAUCUCUUUAAACUAUAAAGUUGUAGAUCUCGUCGAGUACUACAACUUUGAGAUAAAGUUCAUCUUUAUCGGGCGACAUAUGAAAAACAUAUAAAAUUUUCUUGCAGCAUCACCGUUGGUUCAAUCCAUGAACCGACAGUGAUAGUAUCAAUGUUGGUUCUUGGCUAAACUGGAAAUGAUGACCCAUUAUCACCGCAGGUUCUUGGCUAAACCGAUGGUGUUGUGAACCGACAGUGAAGACCCGAAUAUCACUAUCGGUUGGACCUAUCACUGCCAGUUGAAGCCAAAAAUCAACAGUGAUGUACCAUGACAGGCUAUCGUCCCUGCCGGUUUCUGGUAGUAAUGAAGUACAGUAACGGUUCCAAAGUAACCAGCAUCGAUUAUUGUUUCUGGUGUCUUCUAUUUUCCUUGGCUAGCACCUCUUGCUUGAUUGCACUUUUGUCUUGAACUCAAAUACUUCCUUGAGGAACCCAAUCCAUAUUUCUCUCUUUGAUCUUUUAUGCACUAAGCUUCUAUAGCUUUCUCUUUUGGCAUAUUGAUUGUGGACAGCGGCAAUUCUGCCUAGAUUUUUGGUAACUCCAAUUCUUUUAUUUCAGAUUUAGCAUCUUAUUAAAUUAUCAAUAACUACAUUAUCUAUGCUCUUGAUAUUAUUAGCCAAAGUUUGCAACACAUUGAUAGGCAUUUGUUCAGUGAAUUUAGACUUUAUCAUUCAUUUUUGCGGCCAUCCUUUUUUACUUAAUAAACUUGUUUGACCGCUCUUUCUCGUUUAUUUUGUAUCAGCUUUGGACCGAUUCUUUCAAUCAAAAUGGCCUCUGAUAUGAUAAUGCUAUUCAUCAGAGAAUGGCCUUCUUAGAGCUGCAUAUACUUAUGUGGAUUCCUCUCGCAUGCUUGCUCUACCCUGGUUGUUGAAGGUCCAUGGAUAUAAUUAAUGUCUAGUACCAUUUUAAUAGAAAAUAUGAUGAAAAAUAUAAUAGGCAGGAUACAGAACAUCUGACAAAAAGGCUUCAAGAGACUACAUAUCACCAAGUAAACCUGUAUAUUAUUCAUCUCUAAUCGACAAAAAGUAUCAUGUAUAUUCAUCUCUAAUCGACAUGGCUCUAGGCGAACGCAUCAGUCGAGGAUUCGAUGCCUCGGUUGCAGCUGGGGAUCUCAGUGAAGGCACUGACUGGGAAUGACAGAGUGUUGUUCCCUAGCUGGAUCUUGAGCUGCUUGCCUGCACGAGUGACUUCGUGCAAAACGUGCCAAACAAAUUCCACCUGCACACUCACCCCAGAUACACUGCUAAUGGAUCCUGACUUGAUAACCCCGUUUACUUCGGUAGCGUACACAAACUCGAAUUUCCUACCGGAGAAUGUGACAAAUGCGUUACACUCACUGGACAAUUUCACAUCCAAAGCUCCACCGGCACCAAGCACAUAGGAUUGCACACCAAGUGGUAGGAGGCCCUGCGGCAAGUUGUUCAGCUCCAACAGGUGAUAUACUGACCCGGCAGGGUUAAUCUGUAUGAUUCUUGCAUAAGUGGCUCGGAGCAUCAAAGCAAUGAUGGUGGCCACAAGAAUGAGGAGUUGCUUCGCCAUGGCUGGAUCGAGCUUAUUAGGCUCUAGUGAUGUGAUCAAGUCGAACCAAAGAGAGUUUAGAUGUCAGAGCUGGCCCUGGAUUUGUUUAUAUAAUAUGUGGCCAGCCAAAUCUAAAUCAGUAAAACUUUAAUUACAUUUGUUGCUGCCUGAAUAACAUUCCAAGAGUAAAAUUAAAUGCUCCCUAUUUUUUUAUAAAGGAAAUAAAUUAAGCCUAUAUGCAUCACAGUAGAUAAUAAGAAGUUAAUGCACGAAACAUAUCAGGCUUUAUUUAUGUCUGUAUAAUUUUGAGUACUUAAAUUCGUUGAAACUCUCCCAUCAUUAAUUAAGGGUAAUUUGUAGGGUUAAUUCAAAACAUCCUAUUAUAAAUGUCAUAGUUUGCAGAAGCACCAUUGUUAAUAGCGUAGUUUCAAACAUGUCCUUAUAAUUGGCUAUCAACUUGAACUGUACCAACUUUGUAGGCUACAUGCUUUGACCAAAAAUAAUUGCACAUCUCACUCUUUAAGAAGUCAAAACUUUUUAAAUUUGGACUAAAUUUAUAUAAACUAUUAUUAACAGUUGUAUGUCCAAAUAUGUUUAUUAUAAAAAGAGUAAAAUACAUCGGCGCCCUUUUAACUUGUCGUCUUGUGCCACUUUGGUCCAUGAACUUGCAAACGCGAAAAACAGGCCCCUAAACUUGUCAUCAUGUGCCACUUUGGUCCAUGAACUUGCAAACGCGAAAAUGUGCCCCCUAAACUUGUCGACGUGUGCCACUUUGGUCCAUGAACAUGCAAAUACGAAAAUAACACCGGCUGCAUGGCACUGUUCUGCCAUGUGACUGCCUCUGGUAGGUCAUGCAGGCACCGUUUAUGGUGCUGACGUCAGCGAUGAUGUCAGCACUUCUUUUUUAAUUUACGAAAUUGAUAUAUUUUUAUUCGUAGCGUCAAAUAUAUCAAAUAAUAUAUCAAUUCGUUGAAUUUAUUAAUUAAAAGAGAUAAUUUUAAAACAAGCAAAAAUUAUUCGUUUUCUAGGUUUCAUAUUUUUCUCGGGAAAAGUACACAUGAAGAGGCUACACAAAAUAUUUCAUGAAUUUAGCAUUUCAUUAAUAAUUAGUUAUGAAAUAAAUAAAUAUUUGUUGACGCGCUGAAUGAGCCUUUACACGUUUAUGGACCAAAGUGGCACAGGCCGACAAGUUCAGGGGCUACUGUUUUGCGUUUGCAAGUUCAUAGACCAAAGUGGCACAGACGGACAAGUUCAGGAGUCACUUUUUCGAGUUUGCAAGUUCAUGGACCAAAGUGGCACAGACUGACAAGUUAAAGAGCCGCCAGUGUAUUUUACUCUUAUAAAAAUAUAUUCCCACAAUUAAACCAAUAUUUAUUAUGUAUCAUAAAUAUUAAUAUAAUUUCAUAUAUAUAUAUUUGGUCAAAUUUUAGAAGUUAACAUUUUUUAAAAAUCUAGACGUGUAGUUAUUUUGGGAUAUAUUGAGGGAGUAUGUUGUGUCAAAAAUAGGUGCCGUUAUUUGUUAAGAUCAAAUUGACAACAAAUACAAAGCCCAUUGCCUAACCCACCGAGUCCAUCCCAGUUGGAGAAGCCACAGCGCUGUCGGCGCCUCAUUUCUGCUGCAGGCAUUACCACACUGUUGGAAGCCACUGCCGUACUGAAGCUAUCUCCUCACCCGUGAUGUUGUGCCCUGUCUUCAUUGUGUGGGAUCCGUGAGAAGCUCGUCGGUGGCGGAUCUUCAUUGUGCACGCAUGCGCAUCCCCGCCGCCAUGGCCCGUAGACAUGGCUCUAGCGCCACAGCGUCACCUGCGGCUCCCCUAGCGUUGAAUCGGCCCGCACCGCCGCCAUGUCCUCAUCAUAUCAAUAUGGCAUGAGAUCCACAGCCACCUGUUAGACUUUAAGUGUUGCAAUCAAGCUUUGUAAUCUCGUGUUAGUUAGAUCAGGGUGUCAUGCUAGAGGAGUCCUAGCGUGGUUAGAGUUACAUGUAGCCAAAGUCAUGCUGGGUAUGUCAAGCUUGAGUUGGAGUCUGUAUUUGCCACAUCGUGGCGUGUUAGGCGCAUGUAACGGGGAUAGUAAGGAAACGGUAUCCUGUUCCUAUACGGCACGGCGUGGGAGCCUCGUGGCUAUAUAUAUCAAAUAAAGAUAUCAUGAGGGGCUGCGGUUAGGCAGUAAAACCAUACCAUACUUGCCUGUGUUUUUGCUUCUCUAGUUUCAAUCUGUUAAGUGGUGAUCGCAGUCACCACGUCGCCGGUGAACUCGACGUUCUAGCAUCGUUUCGAUCCAACAAUUGGUAUCAGAGCCAAAGGGGGACGUUCAUUGGAGGCGAGAGGUUGUAGAGGAGGCAGAAGCAAGCCAUUCAUCUCGAAGCGCAAGGGGCUAGGCAGAACGAAGCGUGAUCACCAUGGGCGACGGCAAGGCUGACAUUGACAAGACGUUAACCCCGACUGAAAAUUUGACGUGGCCAGUCCUAACCCGAUCAAAUUAUCAAAAUUGGGCGUCUCAUAUUCAGUGUAAUCUUGAAGGGUUAAAUCUUUGGGAUGCCAUCGAGAUGGGUGAGAAGGCAGAGAGACGUCAAGAUCGGUUGGCGUUGGGUUCUAUGCUCCGGGGCGUGCCAACAGCGAUGCACUCCAUGCUGCCCAACAAGAAGACGGCUAAAGAAGCUUGGGAGGCUAUCAAGACUAUGCGUCUUGGGACGGAUCGCUUGAAGAAAGUCAAUGCACAAAAGCUCUUAGGCGAGUUUGAGGCGAUGACAUUCAAACCCGGAGAGUCUAUUGACGAUUUUGCGCUUCGCAUAACCAAGCUGGUUACUGAUCUGCGCGGUCUCGGUGAGGAGAGCGUGACUGAUACAAGGAUGGUGAAGAAGUUCUUACGUGUUGUGCCAUCAAAGUAUUCUCAGGUGGCAGUGGCUGUUGAGAUGGUAAAAGAUCUCAAAACUCUCACCAUUGAAGAUUUGGUGGCGCAUCUUAGGGCGGCUGAGGAAAGACUUGAAUCAUCCGUUGAUCAGGUUGCAGAGAAGGCUACAAAGCUUUUGUUGAUGAAGGAGAAGUGGGCUGCGCGAAACAAAGCUCGGAUGAUAUCUGAAUCAUCUGGAUCAGGUUUCAAGGGUGGUGGUGGAGGUCAUCAGGCCCAUGACAAGAAGCACCGGAAGCGUUCCAACAAAGGUGGCGAUGGUGUGGCGAGGGACUCUGGAUCCUCUUCUCAGAACACGCCAAAGAGGAGGGGCAAGUGCGGGAAGUGUGGGGCUUAUGGACACUGGCACAAGGAGUGCCCAAGGCGUAAAGCACAAGGGGACAAGCAGGAGGUAGCUCAUCACGUGAACAAUGAAGGGGAUAAUGGAGCACUAUUGGUUGCUCAGGUGUGCAACGUGGUGCGCACCACCGCGGUAGGAGGAAACAACGUGUUUUUAAAUCAAGAACGUGUAUUUCCAUCCACCUAUGAUGUAAGAACCUGGGUGCUUGAUACUGGAGCCACCAACCAUAUGACAGGUUGUCGAGAGUCUCUGGCAUCUUUGGAUGAAUCAGCGAAAGGAGUUGUCAGAUUUGGGGAUGGCUCAAGGGUGGAAAUCUGUGAGAUGGGGGCAGUCACAAUCGCCGGGAAACAUACAGAUCACCGUGUUCUCACCGAAGUAUAUUAUAUACCUUCACUCCGAUGUAACAUAGUUAGUCUCAGUCAGUUGGAGGAGGCUGGAUGUCGAGUAGAAAUCGAUAGAGGUGUGAUGACGAUAUAUGAGUGAAGUAAAGGGCAAUUGAACUUGCUGAUCAAGGCUAAAAGGAAAAACCGGCUGUAUGUCAUGUCAGUAAAUAUGACGUCCCCGAUUUGUUUACUAUCGAAGAUGGAUGAAGCCGGAUGGUUGUGGCAUGCUCAGUUUGGGCAUCUUAACUUCAGGUCACUUCAUGACCUAGGCUCCAAGAAGAUGGUGGAUGGUAUUCCUUUGAUACAGCAAGGUGAACAGGUCUGUGAUGGUUGUGCUCUUGGCAAACAUCAUCGCAAACCGUUUCCACUGGCGACUGCAUAUCGGGCAACCAAGGGGCUCGAGCUGGUGCAUGGAGAUCUCUGCGGGCCGGUGACACCGUCAACCCCGGGUGGCAAGUUAUACUUCUUGCUGGUAGUUGAUGAUUUUAGUCGCUACAUGUGGGUGGAAUUCUUGAAAACAAAAGAUAAGGCAUUUGAGAGUUUCAAGAAGAUACAAGUAGCAGCAGAGAUGGAAUCAGGUCUGAAACUGAGAGCGCUCAGAACAGACUGAGGAGGGGAAUUUAAUUUAGGUGCGUUUAUAGUUUAUUCCAAUGCUCAUGGCAUAAGACACAAUACUACUGCACCCUAUACACCACAGCAAAACGACGUUGUCGAGAGAAGGAAUCAGUCUGUGGUGGAAAUGACAUGAUGUUUGCUCAAAUCAAAACAAGUGCCGGGGCGUUUCUGGGGUGAAGCAGUAUAUUUGCUGAACCGAGCACCUACUAAAAGCCCAAAUAAAAUGACACCCUAUGAAGCUUGGUAUGGGAAGAAACCAAGUGCGCGACAUAUGAAGACCUUUGGUUGCAUGGCCUAUGCAAAGAAGGUUGGACCGGGUGUGACCAAGCUCGAAGACAGGACAGUACCUGGUAUUUUCCUUGGGUACGAACCAUAUUCAAAAGCGUAUCGGGUUUAUGAUCCGGUGAAACAACGACUCAUGAUCUCAAGGGAUGUUAUUUUCGAUGAGAAGAAGAGCUGGACUUGGGGGGUGAGUGGAACAAACACAGCAUCGGACGUACAAGAAUCAGAGGAAGCAGUGUUCAGUUGGCCUGAAAACAUUACUGUUGCCGAUCCGACAAUAGACGGGGCGGCUGAUUCAGACAGUGGAAGUUUAGAAGCAGGAGCUGCGAGCGAUUCUGCUAGAGCUGCUGUGGUACCCGGUUCACCUGUUCCACCAACUCCAUCUCUUGGUACUUCAUCAUCGACGGGUGGCACACCUGGAACCUCGGCAAGUGGGGCACCGGCACAAAUACAAUGGGCCACGCCACCCACUGGAGCUAAGGAAGAUUUAGAAGGAGUACCACUCUGGUAUCGUCCAGUACCAGAUUUGCUAGAGUCAACUGUGCCCUUUUAGUUGGAGUAUAGUGGCUUGUGUCUCAUUGCAACUGAGGAACCAAAUUCAGUGGAGCAGUCUCUAACCGAGAAUUGCUGGAGAGAUGCAAUGCAGACCGAGAUACAGGCAAUAGAGGCAAACCAGACUUGGGAAGUCAGUGAGCUCCCAAGGAAUCACAAGGCGAUUGGUCUCAAAUGGGUGUUCAAGGUAAAGAAGGACCCAGAGGGCAAUGUUGUGAAAUAUAAGGCAAGGUUGGUCGCAAAGGGCUAUGCACAGCGCCAUGGUCUGGAUUUUGAUGAAGUCUUUGCACCUGUUGCCAGAAUAGAGACAGUGAAGGUAUUGUUGGCUCUUGCAGCGCACAGUGGAUGGGAGGUGCAUCAUAUGGACGUCAAGUCUGCAUUCUUGAAUGGAGACCUCUGGGAAACCGUCUAUGUGCAACAGCCUCCGGGUUUCAUUGUUGGCAAGGGAGAUAAGGUGAGAUUGAGAAAAGCACUGUAUGGCUUACGACAAGCACCGCGUGCAUGGAACUUCAAGCUUGAUAAGGAGUUGUCUGCUCUUGGUUUUGUCAGGAGUAAACUUGAUAAUACCGUAUAUAAGCGAAGUAGCAAGGAUUCUCUUCUAAUUGUGAUUGUGUAUGUUGAUGAUCUUAUCAUCUUGGGGCCAAAGAUUGAAGACAUUAAUCGAUUCAAGGUAGAGAUGAAAUUGAAGUUCAACAUGAGUGAUCUCGGUCUUCUCAGUUAUUACUUGGGAAUUGAAGUAAACAGGGAAAAGGAGGAAUAACAUUGAGCCAAGUAGCUUAUGCGGUCAGGAUACUUGAUAAUGCAGGCAGGGAGCACUGUAAUCCUUGUGACACGCCGAUGGAGCCACGGUUCAAACUCACAAAGGGAAAAGAAUCUGUAGCUAUGAAUGUGACGGCAUACAUGAGUUUAAUUGGAAGUCUCAGGUACCUGGUAAACACCAGACCAGACCUAGAUUAUGCGGUUGGGGUGGUAAGCAGGUACAUGGAAGCUCUUGGAAAAGCACACUGGGCUGCAGUCAAACAAGUGUUGAGAUAUAUAAAGGGCACCACAGGCUAUGGAUGUAGUUAUGAGAAAGGAACAUAUUUGAAAUCGAUCUUGCUAGGUUUCAGUGACAGUGAUUUUGCUGGAGAUUCAGAGGAUAGGAAGAGC
This 9604-nucleotide long non-coding RNA is filed under the name Sorghum bicolor (sorghum). RNAcentral's name for it is "long non-coding RNA (SBIC_LNC009811)". Lineage: Eukaryota; Viridiplantae; Streptophyta; Magnoliopsida; Poales; Poaceae. The record is from RNAcentral.